CUCAAUAGAGGAUGGGUAUCUACCUAAAGUUACUUUUGUAGUGGUCCAAAAGAGACAUCACACCCGUCUCUUUCCUGUCAACCCCAAAGAGACCGAUAGAAGUGGAAAUAUUAUGCCAGGAACCGUGGUAGACACCAGCAUUUGUCACCCUAGGGAAUUUGAUUUUUACCUUAACAGCCAUGCAGGAAUUCAGGGGACUAGUCGACCAACGCAUUAUCAUGUGUUGUAUGAUGAAAAUAAAUUCACUGCAGACCAGCUACAGAGUUUGACCAAUAACUUGUGCUACACGUAAUGAUAUGAUUUGCUUUUUUAAUCUUAAUUAAUGUUUUCUAAACU
Long non-coding RNA from Lathyrus oleraceus (garden pea), 336 nucleotides. RefSeq lists it as uncharacterized. The record is from RefSeq and is a predicted model, not a curated record. The transcript is spliced from 3 exons. Lineage: Eukaryota; Viridiplantae; Streptophyta; Magnoliopsida; Fabales; Fabaceae.